Gymnopus androsaceus JB14 is the source of this 100-nucleotide non-coding RNA. The record is from the annotation of a GenBank genome assembly. NCBI's taxonomy places the organism in Eukaryota, Fungi, Basidiomycota, Agaricomycetes, Agaricales, Omphalotaceae.
UCCGAUAUGGUGUAGUGGCUAACAUUAUCGCCUCUCAUUUGCAUGACGUCUCUAAUGUCCUUGGACGCGAUAGCCCGGGGUUCGAUUCCCCGUGUCGGAA